Molecule: ribosomal RNA, 536 nt
Filed under: Cryptorhynchinae gen. sp. ARC4840
Lineage: Eukaryota; Metazoa; Arthropoda; Insecta; Coleoptera; Curculionidae
Description: partial 16S large subunit ribosomal RNA
Rfam family: Bacterial large subunit ribosomal RNA (bases 386-536)
Source: RNAcentral
CAUAUAUAUAUAUAUAUAUUAAGUCGGACCUGCUCAAUGAUUAUAAAAUUAAAUAGCCGCAGUAUUUUGACUGUGCAAAGGUAGCAUAAUCAUUAGUUUUUUAAUUGAAAGCUUGUAUGAAAGGUUUGAUGAAAAAAAAACUGUCUCUAUUUAAAUUUUUUAGAAAUUUAUUAUUAAGUAAAAAAGCUUAAAUAUUUAUAGAAGACGAGAAGACCCUAUAGAGUUUUAUAAUUAUUUAUAUAAAUAAAUUAAAGGAUAAAAAUAUAUUAUAUUUAUUAUUAUUUAGUUGGGGUGAUUGAAAAAUUUAAUAAACUUUUUUUAAAGAAUAUUACUUAUUGGUAAAAAUUUGAUCCUUUUUAAGAUUAAAAGAUAAAAUUACCUUAGGGAUAACAGCGUAAUUUUUUAUAAAGUUCUUAUUAAAAAAAAAGAUUGCGACCUCGAUGUUGGAUUAAAAUAAAUUAUUGGUGUAGAAGCUAAUAAAUUAAGUCUGUUCGACUUUUAAAAUUUUACAUGAUCUGAGUUUAAACCGGUGUAAG